RNAcentral lists this ribosomal RNA (46 nucleotides) under uncultured Nectriaceae. Its description in RNAcentral is "partial 5.8S ribosomal RNA". It matches the Rfam family "5.8S ribosomal RNA", at positions 1 to 46 of the family's 154-position model. Rfam says of the family: 5.8S ribosomal RNA (5.8S rRNA) is a component of the large subunit of the eukaryotic ribosome. It is transcribed by RNA polymerase I as part of the 45S precursor that also contains 18S and 28S rRNA. Functionally, it is thought that 5.8S rRNA may be involved in ribosome translocation. Lineage: Eukaryota; Fungi; Ascomycota; Sordariomycetes; Hypocreales; Nectriaceae. The record is from RNAcentral.
AACUUUCAACAACGGAUCUCUUGGUUCUGGCAUCGAUGAAGAACGC